UUUGUUCUAUCUGUAAUAGUAACGUACAUGAUAUUACGAGUUGCUCGGUAGUACUCUGCGGCGUUUGCCUAUCCUGCUAGCGAACAUAAAACGAUUUCCCCAAGAUGCUCAGUCAGAGCCUUGUCAGCUCCAGAUUUGACUACCUCAACUCACACCCUGCUGGAAUCCCUGCAUUCUCAGAUUCCCCUCCACUGAUUUGCACCCUGGAUGGCCUCCCUAUUGCAGCUCACAUUAUGUUCAUGAUUUUAAUUCUAGCCUACAGGCCCAGAAAAUGACCAGCUCCUUAAUACCUCUUGGUCUGGAUAAAGUAAUGUACUGUUUUUCUUUUUCUGUGAUCUACAAUUGUGUCAAUCUUGAAGUUGUCUUCUCCUUAAUAAUUCAGUGGACAAUCACCAAGACUUUGCUGUGUACGGUUGCCUAAUUGGUUGAAUGAGUUGAGCUGCAGGCAUCAUAACUGCAAAGUCCCUUGCUGUUUGUAAAUGCUGAUUCAAUAACCACCUAACCACUUUGAUUCUGAUUUACUUUUGGUCUUGGAAUACACUUCUACAUGUUGCUCUAUGUUUAUAAUAAAAACAUGUUUGUUGUGCUUUUA
Long non-coding RNA from Oncorhynchus tshawytscha (Chinook salmon), 592 nucleotides. RefSeq lists it as uncharacterized. Lineage: Eukaryota; Metazoa; Chordata; Actinopteri; Salmoniformes; Salmonidae. The transcript is spliced from 2 exons. The record is from RefSeq and is a predicted model, not a curated record.